CCUACGGGUGGCAGCAGUGAGGAAUAUUGGUCAAUGGACGAGAGUCUGAACCAGCCAAGUAGCGUGAAGGAUGACUGCCCUAUGGGUUGUAAACUUCUUUUAUAUGGGAAUAAAAUGUUCCACGUGUGGGAUUUUGUAUGUACCAUAUGAAUAAGGCUCGGCUAACUCCGUGCCAGCAGCCGCGGUAAUACGGAGGAUCCGAGCGUUAUCCGGAUUUAUUGGGUUUAAAGGGAGCGUAGGGGGGUGGUUAAGUCAGUUGGGAAAGUUUGCGGCUCAACCGUAAAAUUGCAGUUGAAACUGGCAGUCUUGAGUGCAAUAGAGGUGGGCGGAAUUCGUGGUGUAGCGGUGAAAUGCUUAGAUAUCACGAAGAACUCCGAUUGCGAAGGCAGCUCACUGGACUGCGACUGACGCUGAGGCUCGAAAGUGUGGGUAUCGAACAGGAUUAGAUACCCGUGUAGUC
RNAcentral lists this ribosomal RNA (460 nucleotides) under uncultured bacterium. RNAcentral's name for it is "partial 16S ribosomal RNA". It matches the Rfam family "Bacterial small subunit ribosomal RNA", at positions 338 to 795 of the family's 1533-position model. The record is from RNAcentral.